GAUGAACGCUGGCGGCGUGCCUAAUACAUGCAAGUCGAGCGAACAGACGAGGAUCUUGUUUCUCUUACGUUAGCGGCGGACGGGUGAGUAACAGGUGGAUAACCGACCUAUAAGAAUGGGAUAACUUAGGGAAACCGGAGAUAAUACCGGAUAAUAUAUUGAACCGCAUGGUUCAUUAGUGAAAGACGGAUUUGAUGUCACUUAUAGAUGGUUCCGGGCCGCAUUAGCUAGUUGGUAAGGUAACGGCUUACCAAGGCAACGAUGCGUAGCCGACCUGAGAGGGUGAUCAGCCACACUGGAACUGAGACACGGUCCAGACUCCUACGGGAGGCAGCAGUAGGGAAUCUUCCGCAAUGGGCGAAAGCCUGACGGAGCAACGCCGCGUGAGUGAUGAAGGUCUUCGGAUCGUAAAACUCUGUUAUUAGGGAAGAACAAAAGUGUAAGUAACUAUGCACGUCUUGACGGUACCUAAUCAGAAAGCCACGGCUAACUACGUG
This 497-nucleotide ribosomal RNA is filed under the name uncultured bacterium. Its description in RNAcentral is "partial 16S ribosomal RNA". It matches the Rfam family "Bacterial small subunit ribosomal RNA", at positions 28 to 507 of the family's 1533-position model. The record is from RNAcentral.